Molecule: non-coding RNA, 80 nt
Organism: Sturnus vulgaris (Common starling)
Lineage: Eukaryota; Metazoa; Chordata; Aves; Passeriformes; Sturnidae
Source: RefSeq, a predicted model, not a curated record
AGCCCAUCCAAUUUUAAAUUACUCAAAACUCUGAGGAGAGGGAAUUGGAAGAAGAUGAAAGAAAAAAUAUAGAAAGAAAC